CACUGCCCCACCCUCAACAGAUGGUGAUAGAACAGAUACCUUUGAUCACACCCUGUAUUGUAACCCAAGGCACAGUGUCAUGUGUUGGCAGGCAGGUGGAAAGGCCACUCCUGCUCCUCUCUGCCUGGCAAAGAGGCUGAGUCAGACUCCUGCUCACAGCACAGGGGUGCCUCUGGUGCCAGAUUUCAGCACCUUCCUGAGGACCAGGACAAGAGGGAGGGGUGAGCUCUGUCUUCUGGUGCCUUUGCAGUUCUGCUGAGAAAUGGGGACCUGCUGUUGGAAACAAGAGACUUCCAAAACAAACCCAAAAGCUUUGCUUCAGCACAAGCUGGUGGAUUUGAAACAGAUUUCAAAACUGAGUGUAUUACAAAAGUCCACAGUUAUGGAAAAGACAAAGGAUUUGGCACCUGAACUGAAGUGUAAAGUGACUCCAAGGCAGAAAUAUGUGAUAAAAAGCUUUGUGAUUAAUUUAAUAAACCAAGCAUUGGUUUCACA
Molecule: long non-coding RNA, 495 nt
Organism: Catharus ustulatus (Swainson's thrush)
Lineage: Eukaryota; Metazoa; Chordata; Aves; Passeriformes; Turdidae
Exons: 2
Source: RefSeq, a predicted model, not a curated record